GCCACCUUAGCUCAGUUGAUAGAGCAGCUGAUUUGUAAUCAGCAGGUCGUUGGUUUGAGUCCGACAGGUGGCU
RNAcentral lists this transfer RNA (73 nucleotides) under Ignavibacteria bacterium. RNAcentral's name for it is "tRNA-Thr". It matches the Rfam family "tRNA". From Rfam's summary of the family: Transfer RNA (tRNA) molecules are approximately 80 nucleotides in length. Their secondary structure includes four short double-helical elements and three loops (D, anti-codon, and T loops). The record is from RNAcentral. Lineage: Bacteria; Pseudomonadati; Ignavibacteriota; Ignavibacteria.